AACGAACGCUGGCGGCAGGCUAAACACAUGCAAGUCGAACGGGCGUAGCAAUACGUCAGUGGCAGACGGGUGAGUAACGCGUGGGAACAUGUUCUUUGGUUCGGAAUAACUCAGGGAAACUUGAGCUAAUACCGGAUAAGCCCGAGAGGGGAAAGAUUUAUUGCCGAAGGGGUGGCCCGCGUCUGAUUAGCUAGUUGGUGAGGUAAUGGCUCACCAAGGCGACGAUCAGUAGCUGGUCUGAGAGGAUGAUCAGCCACACUGGGACUGAGACACGGCCCAGACUCCUACGGGAGGCAGCAGUGGGGAAUAUUGGACAAUGGGGGCAACCCUGAUCCAGCCAUGCCGCGUGAGUGAUGAAGGCCUUAGGGUUGUAAAACUCUUUUGUCCGGGAAGAUAAUGACUGUACCGGAAGAAUAAGCCCCGGCUAACUUCGUGCCAGCAGCCGCGGUAA
Molecule: ribosomal RNA, 451 nt
Filed under: uncultured bacterium
Lineage: Bacteria
Description: partial 16S ribosomal RNA
Rfam family: Bacterial small subunit ribosomal RNA
Source: RNAcentral